AUAAAGAUAGCUUAAAAUAAAAGUCACAGUCUCUUAACCUGUAAGAUGUAUAAUAAUAUACUCUUUAUA
This 69-nucleotide transfer RNA is filed under the name Ocnus glacialis. Its description in RNAcentral is "tRNA-Lys". It matches the Rfam family "tRNA". Rfam says of the family: Transfer RNA (tRNA) molecules are approximately 80 nucleotides in length. The record is from RNAcentral. Lineage: Eukaryota; Metazoa; Echinodermata; Holothuroidea; Dendrochirotida; Cucumariidae.